GGAGAGGUGGGUGAGUGGCUGAAACCAGCGGUUUGCUAAACCGCCGUACGGGGUCAACCUGUACCGAGAGUUCAAAUCUCUCCCUCUCCGCCA
This 93-nucleotide transfer RNA is filed under the name Chlorobiaceae bacterium. RNAcentral's name for it is "tRNA-Ser". It matches the Rfam family "tRNA". From Rfam's summary of the family: Transfer RNA (tRNA) molecules are approximately 80 nucleotides in length. Their secondary structure includes four short double-helical elements and three loops (D, anti-codon, and T loops). The record is from RNAcentral. Lineage: Bacteria; Pseudomonadati; Chlorobiota; Chlorobiia; Chlorobiales; Chlorobiaceae.